This 232-nucleotide ribosomal RNA is filed under the name Escherichia coli. RNAcentral's name for it is "partial 23S ribosomal RNA". It matches the Rfam family "Bacterial large subunit ribosomal RNA", at positions 2167 to 2398 of the family's 2925-position model. The record is from RNAcentral. Lineage: Bacteria; Pseudomonadati; Pseudomonadota; Gammaproteobacteria; Enterobacterales; Enterobacteriaceae.
GACGCUAGUUCAGGUGGAGUCAUUGUUGAAAUACCACUCUGGUCACUUUGGAUAUCUAACUACGAACCGUGAUCCGGUUCUGGGACAGUGCCUGGUGGGUAGUUUAACUGGGGCGGUUGCCUCCCAAAAAGUAACGGAGGCGCCCAAAGGUUCCCUCAACCUGGUUGGCAAUCAGGUGUCGAGUGUAAGUGCACAAGGGAGCUUGACUGUGAGACUGACAAGUCGAGCAGGG